CCUACGGGAGGCAGCAGUGGGGAAUAUUGCACAAUGGGGGAAACCCUGAUGCAGCGACGCCGCGUGAGCGAUGAAGUAUUUCGGUAUGUAAAGCUCUAUCAGCAGGGAAGAAGAUGACGGUACCUGACUAAUAAGCUCCGGCUAACUACGUGCCAGCAGCCGCGGUCAUACGUAGGGGGCAAGCGUUAUCCGGAUUUACUGGGUGUAAAGGGAGCGUAGACGGCGAUGCAAGCCAGAUGUGAAAGCCCGGGGCUCAACCCCGGGACUGCAUUUGGAACUGGGUGGCUUGAGUGUCGGAGAGGCAGGCGGAAUUCCUAGUGUAGCGGUGAAAUGCGUAGAUAUUAGGAGGAACACCAGUGGCGAAGGCGGCCUGCUGGACGAUGACUGACGUUGAGGCUCGAAAGCGUGGGGAGCAAACAGGAUUAGAUACCCGAGUAGUC
Molecule: ribosomal RNA, 440 nt
Filed under: uncultured bacterium
Lineage: Bacteria
Description: partial 16S ribosomal RNA
Rfam family: Bacterial small subunit ribosomal RNA
Source: RNAcentral